ACUAGAGUAGCACUCGCCAUAUCAAUAAGCGGAGGAAAAGAAACUAACAAGGAUUCCCCUAGUAACGGCGAGUGAAGCGGGAAGAGCUCAAAUUUGAAAUCUUAAAGGGUUUCCCUUUACGAAUUGUAGUUUAAAGAAGUGUUUUCUGUUGAGGUUUUGGUAAAAGUUCUUUGGAAUAGGACAUCAUAGAGGGUGAGAAUCCCGUAUUUGACCUUUACUUUCAACUUUGUGAUACACUUUCAAAGAGUCGGAUUGUUUGGGAAUGCAGUCCAAAAUGGGUGGUAAAUUUCAUCUAAAGCUAAAUAUUGGCGAGAGACCGAUAGCGAACAAGUACCGUGAGGGAAAGAUGAAAAGAACUUUGAAAAGAGAGUUAAACAGUACGUGAAAUUGUCAAAAGGGAAGCGUUUGACACCAGUGUUGUUUUUCUGAAAAUCAAUUAAAGAACUGUUUAUGCUAAGCUGUUUAGACUUUAUCAGCUAUCUGUUUAGUUUUGAGCUUUUCUUUAAUGCACUUUUCAGUUAACAAGUCAACAUCAAUUUCUUUUGCUGUAAAAAAGCUUGAGGAAGGUGGCUUGAGAUUCGUCUUAAGUGUUUAUAGCCUCUUGCCUAUGCAGUCGGAGAGAUUGAGGUCUGCAGCGUAGAUCCUUCGGGGCUAAAUGCAUUUGUGCUAAGUUAUAGCAUUUUAUAGACAACUUGUUGACUAUGAUUUGUCUUGUAGCUUACUCGCUUAUGUUAUUUUACCUACGCUUAGGAUGUUGAGCGCAUGUCUCUCUCU
This 774-nucleotide ribosomal RNA is filed under the name uncultured Neocallimastigales. RNAcentral's name for it is "partial large subunit ribosomal RNA". It matches the Rfam family "Eukaryotic large subunit ribosomal RNA", at positions 20 to 616 of the family's 3401-position model. Lineage: Eukaryota; Fungi; Neocallimastigomycota; Neocallimastigomycetes; Neocallimastigales. The record is from RNAcentral.